This 254-nucleotide ribosomal RNA is filed under the name uncultured bacterium. Its description in RNAcentral is "partial 16S ribosomal RNA". It matches the Rfam family "Bacterial small subunit ribosomal RNA", at positions 524 to 777 of the family's 1533-position model. The record is from RNAcentral.
UACGUAGGGUGCAAGCGUUAAUCGGAAUUACUGGGCGUAAAGCGUGCGCAGGCGGUUUUGUAAGUCUGUCGUGAAAUCCCCGGGCUCAACCUGGGAAUUGCGAUGGAGACUGCAAGGCUAGAAUCUGGCAGAGGGGGGUAGAAUUCCACGUGUAGCAGUGAAAUGCGUAGAGAUGUGGAGGAACACCGAUGGCGAAGGCAGCCCCCUGGGUCAAGAUUGACGCUCAUGCACGAAAGCGUGGGGAGCAAACAAGG